Molecule: ribosomal RNA, 366 nt
Filed under: Triticum aestivum (bread wheat)
Lineage: Eukaryota; Viridiplantae; Streptophyta; Magnoliopsida; Poales; Poaceae
Description: partial small subunit ribosomal RNA
Source: RNAcentral
AUGCUUUCACAACUUGACUUCAAAAUAUUUGGUUUAGAGACCAUCAAAGAUCAAUAUCUGCAUGAUGCUGAUUUUAAAGAUGUAAUGCAUAAUUUUAAAGAAGGAAGAAUGUGGAACAAGUUUGUUGUUAACGAUGGAUUUGUGUUUCGUGCUAACAAGCUAUGCAUUUCAGCUAGCUCCGUUCGUCUUUUGUUGUUGCAGGAGGCGCAUGGAGGAGGAUUAAUGGGACACUUUGGCGUGAAGAAGACGGAGGACGUACUUGCUACACAUUUCUUUUGGCCAAAGAUGAGACGGGAUGUUGAGCGUUUUAUUGCUCGCUGCACUACAUGUCAAAAAGCUAAGUCACGACUCAAUCCUCAUGGUUUA